UACGUAGGGGGCAAGCGUUGUCCGGAUUUACUGGGCGUAAAGAGCGUGUAGGCGGCCAAAAAGGUCCGUUGUGAAAACUGGAGGCUUAACCUCCAGACGUCGACGGAAACCGUAUGGCUAGAGUCCGGAAGAGGAGAGUGGAAUUCCUGGUGUAGCGGUGAAAUGCGCAGAUAUCAGGAAGAACACCAAUGGCGAAGGCAGCUCUCUGGGACGGUACUGACGCUGAGACGCGAAAGCGUGGGGAGCGAACAGG
RNAcentral lists this ribosomal RNA (253 nucleotides) under uncultured bacterium. RNAcentral's name for it is "partial 16S ribosomal RNA". It matches the Rfam family "Bacterial small subunit ribosomal RNA", at positions 524 to 776 of the family's 1533-position model. The record is from RNAcentral.